CGGACGGGUGCGUAACGCGUAGGAAUCUGCCUAUUAGUGGGGGACAACGUGGUGAAAACCACGCUAAUACCGCAUACGCCCUACGGGGGAAAGCGGGGGAUCUUCGGACCUCGCGCUAAUAGAUGAGCCUGCGUUAGAUUAGCUAGUUGGUGAGGUAAUGGCUCACCAAGGCGACGAUCUAUAGCUGGUCUGAGAGGACGAUCAGCCACACUGGGACUGAGACACGGUCCAG
RNAcentral lists this ribosomal RNA (232 nucleotides) under uncultured bacterium. RNAcentral describes it as "partial 16S ribosomal RNA". It matches the Rfam family "Bacterial small subunit ribosomal RNA", at positions 99 to 334 of the family's 1533-position model. The record is from RNAcentral.